This 445-nucleotide ribosomal RNA is filed under the name uncultured bacterium. Its description in RNAcentral is "partial 16S ribosomal RNA". It matches the Rfam family "Bacterial small subunit ribosomal RNA", at positions 331 to 793 of the family's 1533-position model. The record is from RNAcentral.
CCAGACUCCUACGGGAGGCAGCAGUGGGGAAUAUUGCACAAUGGGGGGAACCCUGAUGCAGCGACGCCGCGUGAGGGAAGAAGGUUUUUGGAUUGUAAACCUCUGUCCUUGGUAAAGAAGCAAGACGGUAGCCAAGGAGGAAGCCACGGCUAACUACGUGCCAGCAGCCGCGGUAAUACGUAGGUGGCAAGCGUUGUCCGGAAUUACUGGGUGUAAAGGGAGCGUAGGCGGGAGGAUAAGUUGAAUGUGAAAUCUAUGGGCUCAACCCAUAGCUGCGUUCAAAACUGUUCUUCUUGAGUGAAGUAGAGGCAGGCGGAAUUCCUAGUGUAGCGGUGAAAUGCGUAGAUAUUAGGAGGAACACCAGUGGCGAAGGCGGCCUGCUGGGCUUUUACUGACGCUGAGGCUCGAAAGCGUGGGUAGCAAACAGGAUUAGAUACCCCCGUAA